RNAcentral lists this ribosomal RNA (778 nucleotides) under uncultured bacterium. RNAcentral's name for it is "bacterial SSU rRNA". It matches the Rfam family "Bacterial small subunit ribosomal RNA", at positions 81 to 872 of the family's 1533-position model. The record is from RNAcentral.
UAAGCAUGAUUUUAGUGGCGGACUGGUGAGUAACACGUAAGCAACCUGCCUAUUAGAGGGGAAUAACAGUGAGAAAUCACUGCUAAUACCGCAUAAGCUGACAAUAUCGCAUGAUAUAGUCAGAAAAGGAGAAAUCCGCUAAUAGAUGGGCUUGCGUCCGAUUAGCUAGUUGGUGGGGUAAAGGCCUACCAAGGCAACGAUCGGUAGCCGAGCUGAGAGGCUCAACGGCCACAUUGGGACUGAGAUACGGCCCAGACUCCUACGGGAGGCAGCAGUCGGGAAUAUUGCACAAUGGAGGAAACUCUGAUGCAGUGACACCGCGUAUAGGAAGAAGGUUUUCGGAUUGUAAACUAUUUUAGACAGGGAAGAAAAAAGACAGUACCUGUAGAAUAAGCUCCGGCUAACUACGUGCCAGCAGCCGCGGUAAUACGUAGGGAGCAAGCGUUAUCCGGAAUUAUUGGGUGUAAAGGGUGCGUAGACGGGACAGCAAGUUAGUUGUGAAAGCCCUCGGCUUAACUGAGGAACUGCAACUAAAACUAUUGUUCUUGAGUGCAGGAGAGGAAAGCGGAAUUCCUAGUGUAGCGGUGAAAUGCGUAGAUAUUAGGAGGAACACCAGUGGCGAAGGCGGCUUUCUGGACUGUAACUGACGUUGAGGCACGAAAGUGUGGGGAGCAAACAGGAUUAGAUACCCUGGUAGUCCACACUGUAAACGAUGGAUACUAAGUGUAGGAAAUGAUUUCAUUAUCUGUGCCGAAAGCAAACGCAAUAAGUAUCCCAC